Molecule: long non-coding RNA, 2847 nt
Organism: Larimichthys crocea (large yellow croaker)
Lineage: Eukaryota; Metazoa; Chordata; Actinopteri; Sciaenidae
Exons: 5
Source: RefSeq, a predicted model, not a curated record
UCUUUUCUAGUACUGAAUUUGCUGAGCAGUGUCAGUAAUAAUGCAUGGGGACGACGCACACUCAAAAUUUCUUUAGAAAUGUUUCUAGUUAAAACAUACUAUAUAUCUACCUGUGACUGCAUUCGCAAGGCCGGCCAGUUCUCCAGGAAUUCCCUCACCUGUGGACUUCCUUGAACAAUGUGUUGGCGGCGAAGGGAAAAGGUUGUGUGCAUGAGCUUUUCUAUCAGUAUCUGGUCUCUCUCAGUCUUUUCAGUCUCUUGUAUGAUUUGUGAUAUCUUUGUUUCUAGAAUUUUGUCCAGAAUGUCUGUAUGUUUAAAUAUUUUCUGAAUCAUGUCAAGAAUAGAAACAUGGACUGCUGUGUGUCCUGGCUCCAGCACAUACUCCACAGGCUUCACCACAGGGGUCAAAGGUGUCCAUGCUAUCACACUGAGCAAGUCCCUCCUCAGCAUUUUCACCAGAGCACACUAUGGCCACACCCCUGGAGGAUGUCGGAAAACAGGUGUGGCGAGGGGCAUUCUUCUUGGCUGAUUUCAUCCUCUCUGAUCCGAUCAUGUUCAGAGGAGCAACAGUUCUAGAGCUGGGAGCAGGAACAGGCUUAACCAGCAUCAUCUUGGCAACCAUAGCCAAAACAGUGUACUGCACAGUGGCUCAUUCUCUUCUGGAUUCUGGUGCUGGGGGCUUUGGUGAGGCUGGAAAGGCUCUGCCAGAGGAUUCAACAACCUAGGCUUUUGCUGCCUUCUACUGCUGGAUCUUAGAUGCCACUGGUAGGUACCACCAUAGUCGUCCUGUUGGGCUCCAGUUACUGCGGCUGUUUUCUCUGUUCACAAGUCUUAUUCUUAAGGGGUGCGCUGUAGCUGUUCUUUAGCUGACAAGUUAUGUCCACCUCUAGUGGUAAGUAUUCACAGGGAAGGAGGAGAUUUCUGUGAAUGACUUGAUUCCUUCCUUUACCAUUUUCUGGACUUCGUAGACUGGACUGUUAUCUUUCCAUUCUUUUACCUGGUGAACCUGGUCCUCCAAGUAGGAUCUUUCCUGUUCCUGUUUCCUGUAUAGGAGUAAAUGUGAAUGUGGGUCUCCCCCUUCUUAUCAUAUUCCCCAAGCUGAGACCUUAUUGGCGGUCUUUGAUGAAAUCUGAUAUGCAUCUACCAUUCACAUUUUCCAGUGGGCCAUGCAGUCCUGGUAAGUUUCGUUUGUUUUAAGGUUGAAUAGCAAAUCAACUGGUAGGCGAGUUGAUCGCCCAAAGGGAAGUAAUAUGGUGAGUAUCCCAUUGCAACAUUUCAUGUCCAGUUAUAUGCAUGGACAACUUUGGCUAGGAACUCUUUCUAAUUUACCUUCUUUUCAUCUGCUAGUGUGUGCAGCAUAGCUAGCAGAGUCUGGUUGAAUCGUUUAACCUACCAAUUCCCUUGAGGAUGGUAGGGCAUUGUGUGUGACCGACAGAUGCCUGAGAGAUCUUUCAGUCUUGAAAGUAGUUUGUUCUCAGAUUCCUUGCACAUAUCAUGCAGCAGCUUACUUGGGAAUCUUAUCAGCCACGGUGUUUGCAGACCUGUUUCUUGUGGUGUACACCUGUGCAAACAUGGUGAAAUGAUCAAUGGCCACUAGUAUGUAUUAAUAUCUAUGCUUGCACUUGUCCAAGUACAGAAAGUCAAUGGAUACUAUUUCAAAUAGGUAGGUGGUGUGGAUCGGCAUCAUUGGUGCUCUAGUCUGUUUGUUGGGUUUCUUUUUCUUCAGGCAUUCACACACAUUGGUAACAAAUUGUCCUUAGAUUUAGAGAAGAUUUUUAACCUCUGUUUUAUUAGCAUGGCAACUGCAGGAUGCUCACACUGAUGGCAUUAGCUGCCAUGUAAGGUGCCAAUUGCUCAUCACUUUUGGCAGCAUACGCAUUCACACACCGAUGGCACAACCUUCAGAAGCAACUUGGAGUCAUGCAGACUGGAUCAAACCACCAAUCAUCUGAUUAGUGGACGACCCGCUCUACCUCCGAGCCACAGCCGCUCAUGCUAAGAGUGUCCUGUUCUACUAACUCUUCACUAGGCAGGAUUGUAGUAUGAAGGAGAUGUUGCUGUUGUCAUGUGUCAUUUACUGUACUGGAGCCUGUGUCCCACAAGGCUUCCAUUGGAUACUUGUCUAAGUAACAGUUGACUGUGCAUCAUUUACCUAUCCAUUCAAUUUCAGUUGUUACUUGUGCUGGGGUGGAAGGUAUUUGACACUGUUGAGGUUCAAAGGAGCAUCAUUAGUGAUCUUCUCAGUCAAUGAGCUGUCUGGGUAGAUUGGCUGUCUUGUGUUACUCUUAUCGGUUUUGCUACUGAUGGACUGUUGCGAAAGUGGGUAGGACUGCUUCUGAGGCACCACUGAGUGUCCUGCCUCAGCAUUCCUUGUCCAUUUCCUGACUAACUGUUCUGUGCUCUGCACCCACAAAAGAAGUGGCCCCCCAAUCCACAUUUGAAGCAGUGCUGAAAGCUGUCCCCUUUCUGUUCUUCUCGACACUUGGGGCAGCCUCUAUCAUGACAUUUCAGCUUUCAUUGGGGCAAGAAAUAUCUGUUUAAUUUCAGUUCUGAGCUAUCUGGUUAUUUGAUUUUCCAUUUUGACAUCUCAGGUCUGUGGUACUGUCUACUUUAUAGUGGCUUUUUUAAGAUGGUAAACAGAAGCAUUCAGAUUUAAUGUAUCUUACACUUAGAAACUGUAACAUGCACUAACUACUCAAUUGUAUUACUGUUUUUACUGUAGUCAGCUUACCUGUAUAAAUAAUAUAAAUAUUAAAAUGCAGUUCAGUUCACUACAGGAAUGCUCUCUGCACUUGUAUAUAACACACUCCUCACUUAAAUCAAAUCAAAUCAAAUCAAUUUUAUUUGU